This 1140-nucleotide transfer RNA is filed under the name Lutra lutra (Eurasian river otter). RNAcentral describes it as "tRNA-Thr". The record is from RNAcentral. Lineage: Eukaryota; Metazoa; Chordata; Mammalia; Carnivora; Mustelidae.
AUGACCAACAUUCGCAAAACUCACCCAUUAGCCAAAAUCAUCAACAACUCGCUCAUCGAUCUACCCGCGCCAUCGAAUAUUUCAGCAUGAUGAAAUUUUGGAUCCCUACUAGGAACCUGCUUAAUCCUUCAGAUUCUUACAGGUUUAUUUUUAGCCAUACACUACACAUCAGACACAACCACAGCCUUCUCAUCAGUCGCACACAUUUGCCGAGACGUCAACUACGGCUGAAUUAUCCGAUACAUACACGCAAACGGAGCCUCCAUAUUCUUCAUCUGCCUGUUCCUACAUGUAGGACGCGGCCUAUACUACGGAUCUUAUAUAUUCCCUGAAACAUGAAACACCGGUAUUAUUCUACUAUUCGCAACCAUAGCAACAGCAUUCAUAGGUUACGUAUUACCAUGAGGACAAAUAUCCUUUUGAGGCGCAACCGUAAUCACCAACUUACUAUCAGCCAUCCCAUACAUCGGAACUAGUCUUGUAGAAUGAAUCUGAGGAGGGUUCUCAGUAGACAAAGCCACCCUGACACGAUUCUUCGCUUUCCACUUUAUCCUGCCAUUCAUCAUCUUAGCACUAGCAACAAUCCACCUGCUAUUUCUCCACGAAACAGGAUCCAACAACCCCUCCGGAAUUCCAUCCAACUCUGACAAAAUCCCAUUUCACCCCUACUACACCAUCAAAGACAUCCUAGGAGCCCUACUCCUAGCCCUAAUACUUAUAAUACUAGUACUAUUCUCCCCAGACCUGUUAGGAGACCCAGACAACUACACUCCUGCCAACCCGCUCAAUACACCACCCCAUAUCAAACCUGAAUGAUACUUUCUAUUCGCGUACGCAAUCCUACGAUCCAUCCCUAACAAACUUGGAGGAGUAUUGGCCCUAGUCCUAUCUAUCCUAAUCCUAGCCAUCAUCCCACUAUUACACACCUCAAAACAACGGAGCAUAAUAUUCCGACCACUAAGCCAAUGCCUAUUCUGACUAUUAGUAGCUGACCUUCUUACCCUAACCUGAAUCGGCGGUCAACCAGUAGAACAUCCAUUCAUCACCAUUGGCCAACUAGCCUCAAUCCUUUACUUCACACUCCUCUUAAUUCUCAUACCAAUCGCGAGCAUUAUCGAGAACAACCUAUUAAAAUGAAGA